This 492-nucleotide ribosomal RNA is filed under the name uncultured bacterium. Its description in RNAcentral is "partial 16S ribosomal RNA". It matches the Rfam family "Bacterial small subunit ribosomal RNA", at positions 29 to 507 of the family's 1533-position model. The record is from RNAcentral.
AGUGAACGCUGGCGGUAGGCCUAACACAUGCAAGUCGAACGGCAGCACAGUAAGAGCUUGCUCUUACGGGAGGCGAGUGGCGGACGGGUGAAGUAUACAGCGGACUCUACUUUUUCGGGGGGGAUAACGUAGGGAAACUUACGCUAAUACCGCAUACGACCUACGGGUGAAAGCAGGGGCUCUUCGGACCUUGCGCGAUUGAAUGAGCCGAUGUCGGAUUAGCUAGUUGGCGGGGUAAAGGCCCACCAAGGCGACGAUCCGUAGCUGGUCUGAGAGGAUGAUCAGCCACACUGGAACUGAGACACGGUCCAGACUCCUACGGGAGGCAGCAGUGGGGAAUAUUGGACAAUGGGCGCAAGCCUGAUCCAGCCAUACCGCGUGUGUGAAGAAGGCCUUCGGGUUGUAAAGCACUUUUGGUGGGAAAGAAAAGAAGAAGGUUAAUACCUCGCUGUUCUGACGGUACCCAAAGAAUAAGCACCGGCUAACUUCGUG